GCCUCUAAAAUAGUAACAAAUAUCUUAGUAUUAUUUACGUAUAAUAAUAAAAUAAUUACCAUUUUGUAUACUGAAAUAGUAGCAACUAAACAAGAGUUGUACAAUAUUCAAACAAUACUAACAAAAUAGUAGCAAUAUUGUAAUAGCCCAAAUUUGCCCGGCCCGUAAAAUAAACAAAAAUAAUAAUAAAAGUUCUUCUGCAGUCCAUUUACAAAACCUAAAUUGCUAGCCUAUUUACAUAGCCCAAUUAAAACACUACUUAUGGCCCAUUUACAAACCAUACCGGUAGCACACAUUACACCUAAAACCCUUUAACCCAAACACUCAAACUAGACCCAAAUCAGCGAGGCCCAAGAAGGCCCAUGCCUAAACUGAAUCAGGAAACCCUAGGGUUUCCAGAAACCUUCGCGCCGCAAGCACUCCAAUCGUCACGCCCCUUUGUCUCGCACCGUUCCAGUGACCCUUCAUCGACGCCUCCAUCAGCGCCGUGGCUCCAGCUCCGUAUCGCGCUGGAAUUGGUGCACGAAUCAACGCCAGCACACUCAUCGCCAUGAUAUCCUCGCUGGUACCUGCAAAAAGGAAAGAUCCACAGCAGAAAAGAGAAGCAAAUAUGGAAAUAAAUCAAAUUGAUUUCCCAAAAUGUAAUAAUUUACAGAAGGCUAUAAAAGCCUAUUUUUUCUAAUCUGUAAGGGGGACGAUUUUUACAUAUAUACAAACAGAUACACGCAUAUAUACAGAGAAGAAAGAAAUAAGAGCAGUUUAUUUUUGAAAAAGGUGAUUUAGAUACAUAUUUCGUUCCUUUUAGUUUAUUUCUUUUGUUCAACGCAUAUGAAUCGUUUUUUUACAAAAAAACUGUUAGUAUUUAGAAAAAGGAAAAGAUUACCUGUGAUUCACCCGGAAAAAUGAAGGCUUUUGACCUUCCAACCGCCGUGCACGUGCAGCCCGGUGACCGGAGGCCGGAGCCCGGACGGCUCUUCUCUUCUCCUCUUUUAGAGGAUUUC
RNAcentral lists this long non-coding RNA (1001 nucleotides) under Gossypium barbadense (sea-island cotton). RNAcentral describes it as "long non-coding RNA (GBAR_LNC003933)". Lineage: Eukaryota; Viridiplantae; Streptophyta; Magnoliopsida; Malvales; Malvaceae. The record is from RNAcentral.